RNAcentral lists this ribosomal RNA (839 nucleotides) under uncultured bacterium. RNAcentral describes it as "bacterial SSU rRNA". It matches the Rfam family "Bacterial small subunit ribosomal RNA", at positions 1 to 833 of the family's 1533-position model. The record is from RNAcentral.
CCGCGGGAUUAGAGUUUGAUCCUGGCUCAGAGCGAACGCUGGCGGCGUGCUUAACACAUGCAAGUCGAACGCGCAGCAUUCUGUAGCAAUACAGGGUGUGGGCGCGUGGCGAACGGGUGCGUAACACGUGGAUAACCUUCCUUGAGGUGGGGAAUAACCCAGUGAAAAUUGGGCUAAUACCGCAUAACAUCGCGAUGGCACAUGCUGAUGCGAUCAAAGGCGCAAGUCGCCACAAGAGGGAUCCGCGGCCGAUUAGCUUGUUGGCGAGGUAAUGGCUCACCAAGGCAAUGAUCGGUAGCCGGACUGAGAGGUUGGCCGGCCACACUGGAACUGAGACACGGUCCAGACUCCUACGGGAGGCAGCAGUGGGGAAUCUUGCACAAUGGACGAAAGUCUGAUGCAGCAACGCCGCGUGGGGGAUGAAGCUUCUCGGAGUGUAAACCCCUUUCGACCCGGAAGAAUGCCCGCAAGGGUAUGACGGUACGGGUAUAAGAAGCCCCGGCUAACUACGUGCCAGCAGCCGCGGUAAUACGUAGGGGGCCAGCGUUGCUCGGAAUUACUGGGCGUAAAGGGUCCGUAGGCGGUGUAGCAAGUCGAUAGUGAAAUCUCUGGGCUUAACCCAGAGGCUGCUAACGAAACUGCUGUGCUAGAGUGUGAGAGAGGCGAGUGGAAUUACGGGUGUAGCGGUGAAAUGCGUAGAUAUCCGUAGGAACAUCCGAGGCGAAGGCGGCUCGCUGGAUCACAACUGACGCUGAGGGACGAAAGCUAGGGGAGCAAACAGGAUUAGAUACCCUGGUAGUCCUAGCCCUAAACCAUCAGGACUUGGGGUUUGCCCUGUA